GGUGCUAUAGUGUAGUGGUCAUCACUCGGGAUUUUGACUUUACCUAUAUAGUCAACUUCCCGAAACCCAGGUUCGAACCCUGGUAGCACCU
RNAcentral lists this transfer RNA (91 nucleotides) under Moniliophthora roreri. It matches the Rfam family "tRNA". Rfam says of the family: Transfer RNA (tRNA) molecules are approximately 80 nucleotides in length. Their secondary structure includes four short double-helical elements and three loops (D, anti-codon, and T loops). The record is from Rfam by way of RNAcentral. Lineage: Eukaryota; Fungi; Basidiomycota; Agaricomycetes; Agaricales; Marasmiaceae.